Molecule: transfer RNA, 67 nt
Filed under: Sphaerodactylus townsendi
Lineage: Eukaryota; Metazoa; Chordata; Lepidosauria; Squamata; Sphaerodactylidae
Description: tRNA-Ala
Source: RNAcentral
GCCAUAGCUCAGUGGUAGAGCAUCUGCUUGGCAUGCUUAAGGUCAUAGGUUCUAUCCCCUGGAACCG